This 1211-nucleotide long non-coding RNA is filed under the name Nicotiana tabacum (common tobacco). Its description in RNAcentral is "long non-coding RNA (NTAB_LNC004709)". Lineage: Eukaryota; Viridiplantae; Streptophyta; Magnoliopsida; Solanales; Solanaceae. The record is from RNAcentral.
CACAGAAAAAAAAAAGAGAAAAGAAAAAAGAGCCUUACGAGGCAAAUCAUCACAGAAUCUGGAAAUACAAAGCCUGAGCGGUCUAAAGGUUUUCGGCAUAUGAAUCACAUCAACGGCGGGACUUCGCAACAGAAAUGAAGACGCAACAAAGCCACCGAGAACGAUCAAGGUCACCAAACCGACCGUCAUUUCCGAACUAACAAUUGUUCUUUGUCUGAAAAGUUGAAACAGGUGUAAUCCAAGACAACCGUGCAUGAAGCAGGUGUCGCCCAAAGAAGAAGGUACAUGGGUACAAGAAAUAUUUUGGCAAUAAGGAAUUCACUCGAAAGGUAAGUUUCCACGAAACUCCCUUUUAUAUUAUACUAAAACAAGAAAAUUCAAAAAAAAAGAGGUCAGUUGUUGUUCUCGAAUUUUGUCCCCAGCUAGUCAGCAUUAUGGUUUUAAACCCUAAACUGAAUUUUUUCCUUUCAGCCAGCAUUAAGGUUUUAAACCCUAAACUGAGCUUUUCCAUGCAAUCAGCAUUAGGGUUUUAAACCCUAAACUGAAUCUUUCCUUUAGCCAGCAUUAGGGUUUUAAACCCUAAACUGAGCUUUUCCAUGCAGCCAGCAUUAGGGUUUUAAACCCUAAACUGAGCUUUUCCAUGCAAUCAGCAUUAGGGUUUUAAACCCUAAACUGAGCUUUUCCAUUUAGUCAGCAUUAGGGUUUUAAACCCUAAACUGAACUUUUUUCAUUCAGCCAGCAUUAGGGUUUUAAACCCUAAACUGAACUUUACCAUUCAGUCAACAUUAGGGUUUUAAACCCUAACUGAACUUUUUCCUUUCAGUCAGCAUUAGGGUUUUAAACCGUAAACUGAAUUUUCCCUUUAGUCAGCAUUAGGUUUUUAAACCCUAAACUGAACUUUUUUCAUUCAGCCAGCAUUAGGGUUUUAAACCCUAAGCUGAACUCUUUCUUUUCAGCGAGCAUUAGGGUUUUAAACCCUAAACUGAGCUUUUCCAUGCAAUCAGCAUUAGGGUUUUAAACCCUAAACUGAAUUUUUCCUUUAGUCAGCAUUAGGGUUUUAAACCCUAAACUGAACUUUUUUCCAUUCAGCCAGCAUUAGGGUUUUAAACCCUAAACUGAGCCUUUCCAUGCAAUCAGCAUUAGGGUUUUAAACCCUAAACUGAAUUUUUCCUUUAGUCAACAUUAGGGUUUUAAACCCUAAACUAAACUUU